RNAcentral lists this ribosomal RNA (430 nucleotides) under uncultured bacterium. Its description in RNAcentral is "bacterial SSU rRNA". It matches the Rfam family "Bacterial small subunit ribosomal RNA", at positions 961 to 1391 of the family's 1533-position model. The record is from RNAcentral.
GCGAAGAACCUUACCUGGUCUUGACAUCCACAGAACUUUUCAGAGAUAAGAAUGUGCCUUCGGGAACCGUGAGACAGGUGCUGCAUGGCUGUCGUCAGCUCGUGUUGUGAAAUGUUGGGUUAAGUCCCGCAACGAGCGCAACCCUUAUCCUUUGUUGCCAGCGGUCCGGCCGGGAACUCAAAGGAGACUGCCAGUGAUAAACUGGAGGAAGGUGGGGAUGACGUCAAGUCAUCAUGGCCCUUACGACCAGGGCUACACACGUGCUACAAUGGCGCAUACAAAGAGAAGCGACCUCGCGAGAGCAAGCGGACCUCAUAAAGUGCGUCGUAGUCCGGAUUGGAGUCUGCAACUCGACUCCAUGAAGUCGGAAUCGCUAGUAAUCGUGGAUCAGAAUGCCACGGUGAAUACGUUCCCGGGCCUUGUACACACC